UGUUUUCCUAUGCUCAAAUGAAAUUAAUCUCCCUAAUGUGACCAACGGCGACAUGUCGAGUUGUAAAAACAAACCCUUAAAACACUUCAACACCCUCAUUUUUUUUUUUUUUGACAUAGCUUUGUGAAGUGGGCUAGCAAUUUCCCAUAUCGUGAUGAGCUGAGCCAAUUCAAAAUUGGCACUGCGUUGCGUGGCGGAGAAGCUGAAUUUGACACAGUGCAACGCUAUUGAGGUUCAGGGCAGACGUGAGGUGAGCGGUGCGAUACAUACGGGUGGGAGGGGGGGGCGGGGCGGAUAAUCUGGUGUUCUAUUUAUGAGGACUGAGCCACUCAUUAUUUUUCCCAAUCCUGUAGGAUUUGUGAAUACAGAAUGGCAAUUUGUUCCCGAUCCCGAUUCACCCAAAUGAAUGCUUGUACAUAUGUUCGCAUCCACGCCUCCGCCGAGGGACGGUGUCCCUUUGAAACGAGAAGCCGCGGAGCUUCCGCAACGGAUUAGGCUGAUAGCCAAUCGGAUUUUGCUCUGGUCCACCUCGCGAACGCAUUUGUGCAAAUGGCUUCAUCUAAUGAUCCAAUUGGACAUGAUUUAAAAAGAACAAAGCUAGCCGUAAACAAACGCUCCCUGCGGCGCUCGCCAGCCCGCGGGGGACCCACCACAUCGUCGCAGUUACGUGUUCACUCACCCAAUGACCGUUGCUGAUGUUUGAUUAUCCUCAAAAGACCGAGCAGGCACGCGGAGUCGGGUAAUCUUACCCGGAUCCCAAACAUGGGCCAUGAAAAAAGCAUGACUCACAGACGUACGUAUUAUUACUGGAUUAAAAAAAAAAAAGAAUGAAUUUAAAAAAAAAAGAGAAAAACGGUGGUCUGAGCACAUAAUCCUCCCUGAUGCAACACGCGGAGGACAAAUUUGUUCUUAUGAACGUUUAUUUGAUGACCUCGUUUGCUGGUGUUCUCGUUACUUUUAAUGCAUCGACGGUGUAAAACAGGCCUCAAAUAUUUCACUUUGACGUCAUGCUUAUUUUUGAUGAAACAUAUUGAGACACGGGUGGCACGGUGGAAGGGUGAAGGGUUCGGUGUCGAUGUUCCUCCCCGCUCGCCUGUGUGGGUUUUCUGCGGGUACUCUAGUUUCCUCCCGCAUUCCAAAAACAUGCGCUGCAGAUUAAGCGAACGUUCUAAAUUGUCCUUUGGUGUGAUUGUGAAAGCGAAAGCUAGAAACUGGUUCAGGGUGGGGGGUACACACUGGUCUGCGUGGGUUUUCUCCGGGUACUCCGGUUUCCUCCCGCAUUCCAAAAACAUGCACGACAGGCUUAUUGGACACUCUAAAUUGUCCCUAGGUGUGAGUGUGAGUGCGGAUGGUUGUUUGUGUCUGUGUGCCGGUUCAGGGUGUCCCCCGCCUACUGCCCGAAGACAGCUGGGAUAGGCUCCGGCAGGCCAUGGCCCAGUACUGGUGGUUUGGGGACCGCUGCUUUAUAAGAAAGUUGAAUUUGCAAGAUCUUUGGAGGGAAUUCCUGCCAUAUCCUGUUUAUGCUACGCUUCCUGUGUGCCUCGGUGCUGUCAAAAUAUUUCCACGCGCAACCCUGCCACCGCUUCAUCAAAGCAAUUAUGAAAGCGUGAUGAUUCAACCAAUGCUGCUUCAGUAUUCCUAUUGGAGGGAUCAACCUCGCUCAAGCCCAUCCCACCCGUGAUGCCAGAUGUUCCCGGGGAAGUUGGAUCGCUAUCCGGUAUUAGUUCGUUUGAUAUGCUGAGUAGAGGCGACAUAUUUGAAGAAUCUCUU
This is a long non-coding RNA of Hippocampus zosterae (dwarf seahorse), 1770 nucleotides long. RefSeq lists it as uncharacterized. The record is from RefSeq and is a predicted model, not a curated record. The transcript is spliced from 3 exons. Lineage: Eukaryota; Metazoa; Chordata; Actinopteri; Syngnathiformes; Syngnathidae.